Molecule: ribosomal RNA, 364 nt
Filed under: uncultured eukaryote
Lineage: Eukaryota
Description: partial 18S ribosomal RNA
Rfam family: Eukaryotic small subunit ribosomal RNA
Source: RNAcentral
CAAUAGCGUAUAUUAACGUUGUUGCAGUUAAAAAGCUCGUAGUUGGAUUUCUGGAGGGAGCGUCGGCCCGUAUUUACGAGUGCGUGACGUCUCUGUCCAUCCUUGCGGGAAGGCACGGCAUUGAUUUGUUGUGUCGGAUCGCAUCAUUUACUGUGAAAAAUUAGAGUGUUCAAAGCAGGCUUUCGCUUGAAUACAUUAGCAUGGAAUAAUAAGAUAGGACUUUGGUGCUAUUUUGUUGGUUGAGCCUAAAGUAAUGAUUAAUAGGGAUAGUUGGGGGCACCUGUAUUGCGUUGUCAGAGGUGAAAUUCUUGGAUUUACGCAAGACAAACAGCUGCGAAAGCGUCUGCCAAGGAUGUUUUCAUUA